GACUUUAUAUUUUGUUUAACGGCUGCGGAAUAUUUACCGUACGAAGGUAGCAUAAUCAUUUGCCUUUUUAUUGGGGGCUAGCAUGAAUGGCUUGACGAAGGCCCAUCUGUCUCGGGGUAGAUUAAGAAGAAUUUAUACUCCAGGUGAAGAUUCCUGGAUUGUGUUUAGGGACGAGAAGACCCCGUUGAGCUUUAAUGAGAUAUUAGGUACUUCCUAAUAAGGAUUUUUAGUUGGGGUGACUGAGGAAUAAAAUUAACUUCCUUUCGCAAAAUUAGUUCAUACUUGUAGUGAUCCACUCUUAGUGAGAACAGG
This 312-nucleotide ribosomal RNA is filed under the name Zeidora sp. MNHN IM 2013-7769. Its description in RNAcentral is "partial large subunit ribosomal RNA". It matches the Rfam family "Bacterial large subunit ribosomal RNA", at positions 1909 to 2357 of the family's 2925-position model. The record is from RNAcentral. Lineage: Eukaryota; Metazoa; Mollusca; Gastropoda; Lepetellida; Fissurellidae.